GUAGGUGGCAAGCGUUGUCCGGGAAUUAUUGGGGCGUAAAGCGCGCGCAGGCGGUUCUUUAAGUCUGAUGUGAAGGGCCCACGGGCUCAACCGUGGAGGGUCAUUGGAAACUGGAGAACUUGAGUACAGAAGAGGAAAGCGGAAUUCCACGUGUAGCGGUGAAAUGCGUAGAGAUGUGGAGGAACACCAGUGGCGAAGGCGGCUUUCUGGUCUGUAACUGACGCUGAGGCGCGAAAGCGUGGGGAGCAGACAGGAUUAGAUACCCUGGUAGUCCACGCCGUAAACGAUGAGUGCUAAGUGUUAGGGGGUUUCCGCCCCUUAGUGCUGCAGCUAACGCAUUAAGCACUCCGCCUGGGGAGUACGGCCGCAAAGGCUG
This 376-nucleotide ribosomal RNA is filed under the name uncultured organism. RNAcentral's name for it is "partial 16S ribosomal RNA". It matches the Rfam family "Bacterial small subunit ribosomal RNA", at positions 527 to 896 of the family's 1533-position model. The record is from RNAcentral.